CCUACGGGAGGCAGCAGUGGGGAAUCUUGGACAAUGGGCGCAAGCCUGAUCCAGCCAUGCCGCGUGAGUGAUGAAGGCCCUAGGGUCGUAAAGCUCUUUCGCCUGUGAAGAUAAUGACGGUAGCAGGUAAAGAAACCCCGGCUAACUCCGUGCCAGCAGCCGCGGUAAUA
RNAcentral lists this ribosomal RNA (170 nucleotides) under uncultured Alphaproteobacteria bacterium. Its description in RNAcentral is "partial 16S ribosomal RNA". It matches the Rfam family "Bacterial small subunit ribosomal RNA", at positions 338 to 525 of the family's 1533-position model. The record is from RNAcentral. Lineage: Bacteria; Pseudomonadati; Pseudomonadota; Alphaproteobacteria.